Molecule: ribosomal RNA, 501 nt
Filed under: uncultured Sphingobacterium sp.
Lineage: Bacteria; Pseudomonadati; Bacteroidota; Sphingobacteriia; Sphingobacteriales; Sphingobacteriaceae
Description: bacterial SSU rRNA
Rfam family: Bacterial small subunit ribosomal RNA
Source: RNAcentral
GAGUUUGAUCGUGGCUCAAGAUGAACGCUAGCGGCAGGCUUAAUACAUGCAAGUCGUGGGGCAGCACAAAUAGCAAUAUUGGGUGGCGACCGGCAAACGGGUGCGUAACACGUACGCAACCUUCCUGUUACUGGGGAAUAGCCCAGGGAAACUUGGAUUAAUACCCCAUAUUAUAUAGAUCAGGCAUCUGGUUUAUAUCAAAGCUUCGGCGGUAACAGAUGGGCGUGCGGUUGAUUAGGUAGUUGGCGGGGUAACGGCCCACCAAGCCUACGAUCAAUAGCUGAUGUGAGAGCAUGAUCAGCCACACGGGCACUGAGACACGGGCCCGACUCCUACGGGAGGCAGCAGUAAGGAUAUUGGGCAAUGGACGCAAGUCUGACCCAGCCAUGCCGCAUGAAGGAUGAAGGUCCUCUGGAUUGUAAACUUCUUUUAUCUGGGGCGAAAAUCGGGUAUUCUUAUCCGCUUGACAGUACCAGAGGAAUAAGCACCGGCUAACUCCGU